Erinaceus europaeus (western European hedgehog) is the source of this 296-nucleotide unclassified non-coding RNA. Its record names the gene 7SK. It matches the Rfam family "7SK RNA". From Rfam's summary of the family: 7SK was discovered as an abundant small nuclear RNA in the mid-70s but a possible function has only recently been suggested. Two independent studies have found that 7SK RNA binds the CDK9/cyclin T complex (known as elongation factor P-TEFb). P-TEFb activates transcription by phosphorylating the C-terminal domain of RNA polymerase II. The record is from Ensembl. Lineage: Eukaryota; Metazoa; Chordata; Mammalia; Eulipotyphla; Erinaceidae.
GGAUAUGAGGGCGAUCUGGCUGUGACAUCUGUCACCCCAGUUAUCACCAGGGUUGAUUUGGCUGACUAGGCUAGGUGCGUGUCCCCUUCCUCCCUCACUGGUCCAUAUGUGUCCCUCCUGAAGCUGCUCCACCUUCCCUAAUAGAGAUGAACUGGUCUUCGGUAGCUGUGCUCCCCUACUAGAACCUCCAAACAAGCUCCUUUUUUUUUCCCUCCAGACCACUGCUCAGCUGUGGUUUACGGUGGUGCGGGGGACUGAACCUUGGACCUCAGAGGCUCAGGCAUGAGCCUUUUUGC